RNAcentral lists this long non-coding RNA (4033 nucleotides) under Panax ginseng (ginseng). RNAcentral describes it as "long non-coding RNA (PGIN_LNC008897)". The record is from RNAcentral. Lineage: Eukaryota; Viridiplantae; Streptophyta; Magnoliopsida; Apiales; Araliaceae.
UUAAAACUUCAUUAUCCAACAGUUUGAGAAGAGAGAUAAAACAGAGUGGCUUCAAUAUCUCUCAUUUCCCCCCAAUUCAACCCAUCGGGCAGAGUCGUCGUCUGGUGGAAUCUGUGAGUUGAGUGCGAUAGUUAUAUAGAAUAGAGAGAGAGAGAGAGAGAGAGAGAGAGAGAUUCUGUGUGAUGGGUGAUGACAGAUCGUCUUCGUCAAUUUUAUUCUACUGUGAUACCAGUCUUUGGCUCUUCCGUCGACGAUGCCGUUUCUUCCAAGCCUUAUUCUUCCGCUUCUUCUGCUCAUCACUCCGGCCGUGAGGUUACUUCUCUUCCGUUUAUUGAUUGCUUUUAAUUAUUUAAAUGAUUUGCCUAAUUUUUUUGAUUUUGAUGAAUUGUUUAUCUGGUUGAGUAUGUAAUUCCUCAUCUCUGUCACUUCCUUCCUUCCCUGUGUACGUGUCCAUAAAGUAAACCAUAGAUUAGUAGAUCUGCAUAUUGUACAUAAAAAAUACCAUAAAGAUUCAGAUAAGAGACAAAUUGAAUUUUGCUCAGAUCAUCUGAAUGAAGCUUUAAAUUUUGUUAGCAGAUACUAGAGAGAGAAAGAGAAGAAGGGUUUUCUUGUGAAAUUAAAAAGGGGAUUCUUGUGAAAUUAAAAACGGUUUUCUUUUCCUUUUGCAUGUACCCAUUGUUGAGUAAAGCUUCAAUUUCGCGUAUAACUUAUAGCAUUUUACAAGUUAAGCAUCAAAAAAAGGAGGGAAAUUGAGUGAUUGGGAGAGAGAAAUGUGUAAUUCGCUGAAAAAUGUUGGAUCAAGAAUUGGUUUCUGGUUGCGCGAAAAAAUUCUCGAUCCUCUGCUCCAAAUCCUGCAAAGGUACUUUUUAAUUUUUAUUUGUUUAUGUGUACUAUGUGUACUAUGUGUUUUUGGGUAAUAGUUAGAUUGUAUCUUUUAGUAAUUAAUAAUGUGUAUCUUUUUUGUUUGUCUAUUUAGUGGCUUGCUAAACUAUCUGAUUCCUUCAUAUAGUAUGUGUAGCCUUGGUGUUAUUUUAUGUUUUUCCUUGUAAAAUUCUAAGGGGUUUGUUGUUAAUUGUUUGGCUGUGGGAAAGAGAUAUUUUUAAAAAUAUUGGUAUAGUUUUCAUUCCAAAUCUUUAAGUUGGAGAUAAGAUUGCAAAUCAUCUAGCUAAUGGGAGCAUUCAUUAAACUUCAAAAUUCAUGUUAGGAUGGAAAGUAGGUAAAAUUCAAGGGAUAAAUCACUGAAGUAAUCUUGUAAGUUAUUGUUUUAACAUUUUGCCCCAGAAAAAUAACUUCCGAACAAAAACCAAAUAACUCAAGAUAAAACAAGAUCAUAGCAGUAUGCAUAUGUAUUAAAAAAAAAUCAAAUAGUAGAACCUAGGCACUAUGCAUAAGUUCUAACAUAUAUCCAUAUCAAAUACUUAUCUCAUCUCCUAAGAACCAUUGUUCUGUACUUGUAAUUACUAAACACAAUAUCAAAGCAAUGCGGAGUAAAUGUGAAUAGGGUGUUAGUGUGCACAAUAUUUAAGUUACAAAGCUUCGAUAACAUCGUAACAGUUCUUUUAGAUUUUAAUUAAGAAGUCAAGAAAAAUUUUAAUGUAACUGUCCCUAGGGUGAAGCCAUGUUUAUACAUUUCUGAGAAUGUCAGGAAAAAUUUUGGCAUGUGAUAUAUUUCAACUCUCAUUAUAAGUUUUCAUCAAUCAAACUCUGUAAGCCGUAUGAUCAUAUAUUUUCAGGUAUACAUUGAAGGAUACUUGGUAUAAACUGUAAAGAAUAUGAGGUUGUUUCUCUAUUGUAUGCAUGUGUAUAUUUUAUGUUCCGUCUUUUGUAAAGUUAACUAAUUAUACAUGGUUAUGAUGAUUUUGGGUAUGAAACUAUGGUUGUUUUGGUGGUUUCAAUAUUUAUUGAUGAUUGUUCUGGAUAUCUAUUUUUAAAGGAAACUCUGUCAAAAUUUAUUGAAAUUAGUAGCGACUAGCUUGAUGUUUUGCUGGUUGGAUAUGUGUUGAUGAUUGAGUAUGUAUAAUUAUUGUGGUUGUAUGAUGAAUUAUGAUAAUUGUUAUGUCUGAUUGUAAGUUAUUUUAAAUUGCAAAUUGUCUUUAGGUAAUGUAUUAAUUUUCGAAUUUUAAUCUAAUUUUUCGUUUCGCCGUGCCUUCAGGCACAUGCAAUUACUAGUAUGCAUAUAAAUUACACGCGUAACACCUGUGCAUGCCCGAUAGACUAGUUAAGUCUAAUGAUCAACCACUAAUUAGAUUAUAUACUGAUGGUGUAUAUAUAAGUAAUGUUAAAAUUAUGACACAAUAUUAAAAUAUAUAAAAGUAUUUUUGUAAAUAAAGUAGAGAUUAGAAUAAUUAGCUUACUUAGAUAUAUAAAAUACAUGCGUGCAAACAUAAAAAGAUGAUCAACCACUAAUUAGUCCAAUUAUAUUUUUUUAUCCAUUGAUGAUCAUGAAGCCUGCAAACAAGCUUCAAUGAAAAAACUUGGAGGAGAAGAAUAGGGAGAGAGAAAAAAGAGAUAAGGAUAAGAUUUUAAUUCAUUAUAUCCUGUAUAUUGUUUUUACUGGAGUAUAUAUGCAACUCAUAACAAAAGAUAGCUAAUAAAUAGAAUAAAUAUCCACCCUACAGAUGGAAAGGUAAUGCAUAAAGAGGAACCUUGAUCAUUUCCUAGCUCAUCCACGUGGGUUCUCUAGUCAUUCUCCUUCACUUUCUUAGCUCAUUCAAUGUUGCUAUUUCCUCCAAUUCAGCUGCUGUACACUCCUCUACUCCUACUUCAGUGUGCUUUGGUUAUAUAUUAGACCCUUUACUUAUUUGAUGUUCAUUGUCUUGUGCACCACUAGCCUCAUGGUUCAUGUUCUCCUGCUCACUGUGUGGACUCAUAAAUCCUUGAUCAAUCUUCUGUUGUCCCUUGUCUGUAACAAUACCCAUCCCAUCAACAGACACCUUGUCCUCAAGGUGUAGGGUAAGAUACAACUGUUUCAGUUGAUGAUAGUCAAGCUAGGUAACUUCUUUUAAGGGUAAGUUUUCCCACUGCACCAGAUAUUGAGUGACCCAAUGAUUGUUCACUUUCUUUUUCCUGUGAUCGAUGACAGCAAUUGGUUGGAGGACAGGUUGAUUAUUGACAGUAUAUGUAGGUAGCGAAGAAAAAGGAAUGUUUGUAUUUCCCACAAAUCGCUUGAGCAUGGCUAUAUGGAAAACAUGAUGAAUUUUAGAAGAUGCUGGAAGUUGUAACUUGUAAGCUACCUUUUCCACCUUUUCAAUGAUGAGGAAAGGUCCAAAGUACCUUUUACUAAACUUCUGAGAGAGUCUGGAUGCAGUACUUUGUUGCCUGUAUGGUUGUAAUUUAACCAACACUAAUUCCCCCACAUUGAAAGCAUAGUCAGUUCUAUGUUUGUCAGCCUUGGUUUUCUUUAGCUGUGCAGACUCUAGAGUAGCCUUUAAGAGUUUGAGUUUUUCAUCUCUAGUCUGUAAAGUGAUGUCAACCGCUUCAACAUGUGUGCUUCCUGGAAUAUAAUUAGCUAAGAUUGGAGGUGGCCUACCAUAUACUGCCUCGAAUGGAGUUUUGUGAAUGACGGAAUGAUAAGAUGAGUUGUAAUGCCACUCAGCUAAUCCUAGAAACUUGUGCCAUAAGUGUGGUGCUUCUGAUAUGAAACACCUCAAAUAUUGCUCCAUGCACUUGUUAACAAUUUCACUUUGUCCAUCAGUUUGUGGGCGGUAUUCAGAAGACAUUUUGAAUGUUGUUCCUUGUAGCAUGAACAAGUUCUGCCAAAACUUGGAUAAAAAAAUUGAAUCUCUAUCACUCACAAUGGUCUUUGGUAUCCCAUGGAGUUUGCCUAUCAUUUCCCAGAAUAGUUGUACCACUUUAGAAGCAGUAUAGGUAGUGGGAAGAGCCCCAAAAUGUGCUGCUUUAGUAAGUCUAUCGACUACUACAAAAAUAGUGGUGUAUCCUUGUGAUGGGGGUAAGUGUGUAAUAAAAUCCAUGCUCACUUCUUCCCAAACUUCUUGUGGAAUUUCCAGGGGUUGCAGUAACCCAUAAGGACUGA